RNAcentral lists this ribosomal RNA (1361 nucleotides) under uncultured organism. RNAcentral's name for it is "bacterial SSU rRNA". It matches the Rfam family "Bacterial small subunit ribosomal RNA". The record is from RNAcentral.
CUUAACACAUGCAAGUCGAACGGGCUCUUCGGAGCUAGUGGCGGACGGGUGAGUAACGCGUGAGGAUCUGCCUUCAGGAGGGGGAUAACGACUGGAAACGGUCGCUAAUACCGCAUAUGCCUACGGGUGAAAGAUUUAUCGCCUGGAGAUGAACUCGCGUCAGAUUAGCUAGUUGGUGGGGUAAGAGCCUACCAAGGCGACGAUCUGUAGCUGGUCUGAGAGGAUGAUCAGCCACACUGGGACUGAGACACGGCCCAGACUCCUACGGGAGGCAGCAGUGGGGAAUUUUCCGCAAUGGGCGCAAGCCUGACGGAGCAAGACCGAGUGCGGGAUGACGGCCUAAUGGUUGUAAACCGCUUUUCUCUGGGAAGAUGAUGACGGUACCAGAGGAAUCAGCCUCGGCUAACUCCGUGCCAGCAGACCGCGGUAAUACGGAGGAGGCAAGCGUUAUCCGGAAUUAUUGGGCGUAAAGCGUCCGUAGGUGGUUAUUCAAGUCUGCUGUCAAAGCGUGGGGAUUAACUCCAUAGAGGCAGUGGAAACUGGAUGACUUGAGUGCGGUAAGGGUAGAGGGAAUACCCAGUGUAGCGGUGAAAUGCGUAGAUAUAGGGAAGAACACCCAGUGGCGAAAGCGCUCGAAUGGGACUGAAAUGACACUGAAGGACGAAAGCUAGGGGAGCGAAAGGGAUUAGAUACCCCUGUAGUCCUAGCCGUAAACGAUGGAUACUAGGUGUUGCUCGUCAUCGACCCGAGCAGUGCCGUAGCCAACGCGUUAAGUAUCCCGCCUGGGGAGUACGCUCGCAAGAGUGUAACUCAAAGGAAUUGACGGGGGCCCGCACAAGCGGUGGAGUAUGUGGUUUAAUUCGAUGCAACGCGAAGAACCUUACCAGGGCUUGACAUGUCCGGAACCUUGCCGAAAGGUGUAGGGUGCCUACGGGAACCGGAGCACAGGUGGUGCAUGGCUGUCGUCAGCUCGUGUCGUGAGAUGUUGGGUUAAGUCCCGCAACGAGCGCAACCCACGUUCUUAGUUGCCAGCAUUCAGUUGGGCACUCUAGGGAGACUGCCGGUGACAAACCGGAGGGAGGUGUGGAUGACGUCAAGUCAGCAUGCCCCUUACGUCCUGGGCUACACACGUACUACAAUGCUGUGGACAAAGGGCAGCCAGCCGGCGACGGUGAGCUAAUCCCAUAAACCACGGCACAGUUCAGAUUGCAGGCUGCAACUCGCCUGCAUGAAGGAGGAAUCGCUAGUAAUCGCAGGUCAGCAUACUGCGGUGUAUACGUUCCCGGGCAUUGUACACACCGCCCGUCACACCAUGGGAGUUGGUUUUGCCCGAAGUCGUUACUCCAACCUGCGGGGGGGGA